RNAcentral lists this ribosomal RNA (426 nucleotides) under uncultured bacterium. Its description in RNAcentral is "bacterial SSU rRNA". It matches the Rfam family "Bacterial small subunit ribosomal RNA", at positions 354 to 796 of the family's 1533-position model. The record is from RNAcentral.
AUGAGGAAUAUUGCGCAAUGGGCGAAAGCCUGACGCAGCGACGCCGCGUGGGUGAGGAAGUCCUUCGGGAUGUAAAGCCCUUUUGCCGGGGACGAUCAAGGACGGUACCCGGCGAAUAAGCCCCGGCUAACUACGUGCCAGCAGCCGCGGUAAUACGUAGGGGGCAAGCGUUGUCCGGAUUUACUGGGCGUAAAGCGCGCGUAGGCGGAAGUUCAAGUCUGGCCUGAAAGCCCCCGGCUCAACCGGGGAGUGGGGCUGGAAACUGGGCUUCUUGAGGGCGAUAGAGGAGUGUGGAAUUCCUGGUGUAGCGGUGAAAUGCGUAGAGAUCAGGAGGAACACCCGUGGCGAAGGCGGCACUCUGGGUCGGCCCUGACGCUGAGGCGCGAAAGCGUGGGGAGCGAACGGGAUUAGAAACCCUUGUAGUCC